This 74-nucleotide transfer RNA is filed under the name Methanobacteriota archaeon. RNAcentral's name for it is "Euryarchaeota archaeon (soil metagenome) tRNA-Lys". It matches the Rfam family "tRNA". Rfam says of the family: Transfer RNA (tRNA) molecules are approximately 80 nucleotides in length. Their secondary structure includes four short double-helical elements and three loops (D, anti-codon, and T loops). Further hydrogen bonds mediate the characteristic L-shaped molecular structure. tRNAs have two regions of fundamental functional importance: the anti-codon, which is responsible for specific mRNA codon recognition, and the 3' end, to which the tRNAs corresponding amino acid is attached (by aminoacyl-tRNA synthetases). tRNAs cope with the degeneracy of the genetic code in two manners: having more than one tRNA (with a specific anti-codon) for a particular amino acid; and 'wobble' base-pairing, i.e. permitting non-standard base-pairing at the 3rd anti-codon position. Lineage: Archaea; Methanobacteriati; Methanobacteriota. The record is from RNAcentral.
GGGCUAGUAGCUUAGCUAGGUAGAGCGGCGGACUCUUAAUCCGCAGGCCGCGGGUUCGAAUCCCUCCUAGCCCG